Molecule: long non-coding RNA, 241 nt
Filed under: Elaeis guineensis (African oil palm)
Lineage: Eukaryota; Viridiplantae; Streptophyta; Magnoliopsida; Arecales; Arecaceae
Description: long non-coding RNA (EGUI_LNC006772)
Source: RNAcentral
AGAGGAAGAAGGAUUGGUAAGCCGAUUCAUAAUUGUUGCUGAAUCUCUCUCUAUCCAUAAUUUUUGAUCUUCCAAUGUGUACAGCUAUCUGUAGACAAUAAUACGAAGCAACCACGAGUUCAGCAAACGCAAGGUAGGAAAGAAGCCCAGGCCGCUUUCAUUAGAUAACUGCUGCCAACAAGUUUGAGCACAAGAACAAGUGACUGCUACGCGUUCACAAUCCUAGGUAUAUGAUGGACAC